AUAGGUAUGACUACUAUAAGGGAAGCCGCAAGAAGGGCCGAACAAGGGGUUGCUAGUAAGGAAGCUCAUGAAAAUUAAGCUCCUCCGCAAGACAAUCCAGUGCCUCCACUUGAGAAAAUUCCUAUAGGUGCUCGAGUUCUGGUUGUUCCUCCACCUGUGAGGGAUGAAGAGAUAAGGUUCCGUCAUUGAAGGGUUCGUGGCCAAUUUGCAACGUAGACAUUGAUCAUUUCUCCAAAUGUCGGAAUGUCCUCAAGAUGCGAGAUGAUGCCUUUUCUAAUUCUACUUAUGUUACGUGUUAUUGUCCAAGGUCAUUCAUUUCACUUUUAUUGUUCAAGACAUUGUUGUAAGCCCUAAGUGGAAACCAUAUAUUUGUGUAAGGGUUAUGCCCGAAUUGUUAUAAUCCAUUUAGAUGGUUUUAAAUUAGAUAUUCCUAUAAAGACUAUAUUGUGUAUAUUGUAUAUGUAGCAUUAAAGUAGAAGCCUAUGUAAGGUUCUUAUUUCAGGA
Solanum lycopersicum (tomato) is the source of this 504-nucleotide non-coding RNA. Lineage: Eukaryota; Viridiplantae; Streptophyta; Magnoliopsida; Solanales; Solanaceae. The record is from RefSeq and is a predicted model, not a curated record.